CAGCCGCCACCGCCGUUAAUAUUUGUCGACGCAGGGCUCUGUUGAGACGGUCAAAGUAUCUUUUGCGGUUGUUAAAAACGUUUGUAACAAGUUUACUUUUUCACAAUUUGUAAACAAACUAAAAAUAAUGUUAUUCUAUUCGUUUUUCAAAUCUUUGGUUGGCAAAGAUGUAGUUGUCGAAUUAAAAAAUGAUUUAAGUAUUUGUGGAACUUUACAUAGUGUAGACCAAUAUUUGAACAUAAAAUUAACUGAUAUUAGUGUAACCGAUCCGGAAAAAUAUCCGCACAUGUUGUCGGUAAAAAAUUGUUUUAUACGCGGUUCGGUUGUGCGUUACGUUCAGUUGCCGGGUGACGAAGUGGACACACAACUUUUGCAAGAUGCUGCGCGCAAAGAAGCGGUUGUUAGUUCACGAUGAAGCGGCCGGAAAAUAUAUCCAGCGGAAAUAUCAACAACUUCCAUUUUGGUGCCACCCUACUUUACAUAAUGCAUCAAGUUACCAAAUUUAUUCAACAACAACAAAUUUGUAUUAAACUGGUCAACUACAACACCAGGAUAAUUGUUUGGAGGUCUAUCAUCAAUUCAAAUUUUAAUUAUAUUUGUAAAUUACAUUAAUACUCAUAAAAUUAAGAUUUUUAUAUUUAAUAAUAUUUAAAAAAACAUU
Lucilia sericata (common green bottle fly) is the source of this 661-nucleotide RNA transcript. NCBI's taxonomy places the organism in Eukaryota, Metazoa, Arthropoda, Insecta, Diptera, Calliphoridae. The record is from RefSeq and is a predicted model, not a curated record.